CGAUGUCCGACGAAUUUUUCGGUUGAAAUGGUGGGCCUAGAAGGAAUUUUAGGUUCUCUUUUUCAUAAAUUCUUGCGUUCGACCUAGGCUAGCAGAUAGAGCAAGUCACGCAUAAACAGGAAACAGUCGUCGGAUCGCGUCGCGUAAUGGUUCGUCC
RNAcentral lists this non-coding RNA (157 nucleotides) under Pycnococcus provasolii. Lineage: Eukaryota; Viridiplantae; Chlorophyta; Pseudoscourfieldiophyceae; Pseudoscourfieldiales; Pycnococcaceae. The record is from RNAcentral.